Molecule: ribosomal RNA, 661 nt
Filed under: Minimedusa polyspora
Lineage: Eukaryota; Fungi; Basidiomycota; Agaricomycetes; Cantharellales; Hydnaceae
Description: eukaryotic LSU rRNA
Rfam family: Eukaryotic large subunit ribosomal RNA
Source: RNAcentral
CUGACCUCGAAUCAGGUGGGACUACCCGCUGAACUUAAGCAUAUCAAUAAGCGGAGGAAAAGAAACUAACAAGGAUUCCCCUAGUAACGGCGAGUGAAGCGGGAUGAGCUCAAAUUUAAAAUCUGAUAGUCUUUGGCUGUCCGAGUUGUAAUCUAGAGAAGUGUUUUCCGCGUUGGACCAUGUACAAGUUUCCUGGAACGGAACGUCAUAGAGGGUGAGAAUCCCGUCCUUGACAUGGACUACCAGUGCUUUGUGAUACACUCUCAACGAGUCGAGUUGUUUGGGAUUGCAGCUCAAAAUGGGAGGUAAAUUCCUUCUAAAGCUAAAUAUUGGCGAGAGACCGAUAGCGAACAAGUACCGUGAGGGAAAGAUGAAAAGCACUUUGGAAAGAGAGUUAAACAGUACGUGAAAUUGUUAAAAGGGAAACGAUUGAAGUCAGUCGCGUUUGCUUGGACUCAGCCUUACCUCGGUUUGGUGCAUUUCCUUGUGAACGGGCCAGCGUCAAUGUUGUUCGUUGGAAAAGGGUUAGAGAAAUGUGGCUCUUUCGGGAGUGUUAUAGUCUCUGAUCGUAUACAACGGCUGAUAUUGAGUGGUACAGCAUGCUUCGGCGGUGCUUGUGCUGGCAUAAUGGCUUUAAACGACCCGUCUUGAAACACGGACC